Molecule: long non-coding RNA, 268 nt
Filed under: Sorghum bicolor (sorghum)
Lineage: Eukaryota; Viridiplantae; Streptophyta; Magnoliopsida; Poales; Poaceae
Description: long non-coding RNA (SBIC_LNC006640)
Source: RNAcentral
AUGCAUUGGUCUAGCUUUCUCUCGCCCCACUGGAUUUCAUUGGAGUUGGUGACCCUCAAGAACCAAUCCUUCCACCCCACGGUAGGGCUGGGCCAGGAACGGAAAGUAUCCUUCCAUAGAUCCAAAGAAAAGUUCUCUGCUCUAAAAGGGAUCCUGUUGGUUUCUGCGUUUAUGAGGUCGGUUGGAUCUGGAUCCCCUAGCGGGCCGAGGCAUUGGAGGUGUGGUUGAUCGGUGGGGAUAACAAUUUUAUUAGCCGAUUCCUAAUGGU